Molecule: long non-coding RNA, 2036 nt
Organism: Cynara cardunculus var. scolymus (artichoke)
Lineage: Eukaryota; Viridiplantae; Streptophyta; Magnoliopsida; Asterales; Asteraceae
Exons: 4
Source: RefSeq, a predicted model, not a curated record
GGCCCCCUCAUUUUUUGAAUUUCUAGAGACCGUUUGCCCUCUCCUUACUCUUUCAAACAUAGACGAUCACCCUCAAACAACAUACACUCUCUCUAUAGGUGUGUACGUGAUCGCAGAUCCAUCAAAGAAGCCAGUUCUUGCUUCAUCUCCUUCCAUAAUCAGAAUCUUCGAAUGUGUCUAAUCUAUUGUGGGAGUAGCUCCUUGUACAAACCCUAAGAGUAGGAAACUGAUAAUGGUUUGUUGGAGAGGGUAUAGACAGAGUUACCAGCAAGCAGGAUUCGAGGUCUGCAGUAAGGCUCUCAGGGAUGGGAAGUGAUCCAGCCAACAAGGUUUCGUCUUCUGAUGGGAUCAGCCAGGGGCUUCAGAAAAUGCCAGUUUUGCAUGGGAGGACCACUGGCCCUACGAGACGUUCAACAAAGGGGCAAUGGACUGAAGAAGAGGAUGAGAUUUUGCGUAAAGCUGUUCAGCGGUUCAAAGGAAAAAAUUGGAAAAAAAUAGGUAACUUUCUUCAUCAACAAUAUUUAUGCUCGCGGACAUCUCAUUGUUGGAUAUUAAAAUAUAAGUGUAUGAGUUGCCAUGCUUUUGAAGAUAUAUCAUAUUUUCUUCAUCAAUGUUGCUUGAUGUUUAAUAUUGCUAUAUUUCGUUAAUUCUUUUUGAUAAUUGGACCUUUUCUUGUAGUGGGAAGGUUAUUACAUUCUUUUUAGUUUCUUAUUAAUAAAUUUACCCAUAGUCUAGUGCAAUUUGAAGCCUGCCUUUCUGGAAGGCUCCUAUUAUUGUGUUCUUAUACAUGUCUCAUCAAACCUUUGAAAUACUAAUAACAAGGAAAAUAUCCCGAUUAUUAUGUGGCCACAAAACUUUCAAAACUCUUAUGUACUUUGGAUCAUUAAGAGGCAUCUCAUAUUAACCUCUUAGGGGUAAUGGCUUGCAUUUUUCAUUAUAAUUUAUUUGUUUACAUCUUGGUAAUCCAGAGUCAAAUGAAAGAUUGAGAACAUAUUUUGGUUGACAGCUAAGAGUUCACUUUUGAGACUAUGAGAUCUUGGUUUGCACAAUAGCAUGUGCUCCGAAAGGGCUAAAUUAAAAGCAUAUUGAGGCUACUAAUGGGAUAAGACAUGCAAGUGUGCUUUCCCAAGUGAUGUAGCUAGAAGAAGAUUAUGAAAUAUGAUGAAUUCUUGUUCAAGCUUUUUCAAGUUUGAAAAAUAGGAAUGUCACAAUUAGCAAUGAGCAUCUCUCAUACCAACCCGGGUUGAUUCCUUGAAGUGUUUGACCCAUAAAGCCAUGGCAUGACUUAUGUUGUUACUUCUUAAUAGGUUCAUUGUUAACUCUUGAUGAGUGGGGAAAAAUGUUAUAGAAAAGAAGGUUUUUGGUCCUCUGAUAACAAAUGUAAGAUUCUAAGAAAGUAGGAUCCUAUAACACAAAUGGUAAUAGUAAAGCAAUGUCUAAUUAAAGUCAACCCUACACCUACAGUGGGGCAAGAAGAAACCAUGUACUAUCAUAAUGGUCGAUUGGAACAUGGUAGUUAAAAGUAUUUCUGUUAUCCAUCAUCUGGUUAGAUCGAAGUCAAUUAUGAAAGGUGAUAAACUUGCAGUAGAAAAGACGAAAGAAAUACCUAAUUUGUGCUGGAAGUAGUAGAUGCACCUCGGAUGAAAAGAGAGCAUUUGGAAAAUAGCUCUCCUUAGCGGGAAUGUACUAUGUACCGAUCCGAGCCCAAAGCCACUAGUUGGAUGUAUAUACUAGAGGGGGUAUUUCAAAGAUUAUAGGGAUAAUGGAUUCACACACGUCAUGGACUCACGGGCCUAUAAAGUUUGUGUAAGGCAUGGCACGUCGAUGUGCAUUUUUUUACAAAGCGGGACGUUUUUCAAUUUUUUUCAGUUCUUUAGCUUUUGUGUUUUCACACUUUUAACUUCAAAUUUUACACUCUUACAUAUUUAGCUAAUCACAUCGCUAACAGUUUUAUGGAUUCACGCAUGCCAUGGACUCAUGGUUAAAAUGAAGUCGUAAAAUCAUCCACAUUAUAUUUUGAAUAUUUGAUUACAGAC